CUCAGGGCUCGCGCGGCGCCGGGCGCGGGAGAGGUGCCGGAGCUGCAGCACAGGGCUUUAUUUGUUGCCGCUGAACUGCGAAAAAGGGGAGGGGGGGGAAAUAAAUAAAAAGACCUUCUCUCCCUCUCGGGUAAACCGUAUAGGAUUUGCACCUCUGUGACAAAGGCCUCUUUCAGGGAGGAAAGAAGGGGCGCACCAAAUGCCCAAGGGUGGCAGGAUGUGAAAAGAGGCUUGUUUCUUGUCUUUUCCCUAGAGCUUCUCUGUUUCUCCCCAGAUGAGGCCGCUGAGCUGUUCCCAGUUCCUUCCCAGCCACAUUUAGAUUAGUGAGAGAUACCAAACGCCACGCCACGGGUGCCAGGGUUUUGCUGCGUCUGCAGAGCUACGGCGUACAUGUCACCAGAUCUCCUGAAUCGAAUUCGGUUUGGUUUCUGCCUCCUUAGGAACUUGCCUUGUUCCAUGUGGAUUUUGCAUGCAUUAUCUGCCCCACUGAAGAAGAGUGAUUAUAGUCCUGAGGAGCUCCAUCUAUAGCAGCUAUCUACAAGCUUUAAAAUGACAAGGUGCUGGAACUGUAUGCAGUUUUUAUGUUCACAUAUUUUCUUUAAAAGAGGGAUGCAAGAGCCAUUAAAAUUGUGUUGCCAUGAGAGUGGGAGAGUGCUUCUUGAUGAAUGAGAACUUUUCAAAGUAAAUUUGUUUAGAAUGCUUGCUGUCUUGAAUUUAAUUUCAAAGUGUUAAUACAUUUCUGUGGUUUUCUUAGUGUCACUGGACAAGUGUUUACACCCUCUUCCAAAAGUGAAAUAUCGCAGAUGUUGAAAAGAAUGCAGGUAUAAACGAAUCUGCAAGUGAAAUAAGAACAGUAUCUGCCAAUAAUGUAGUCGCCCCAAACUGCGAUAGUAUCUCUUGCAUAAUCAGCAAUAUAUCACCACUGAAGUAUAAUUUCUGAGAAAAUGUCUUGAAAAUGGCAGUCAAACCACAUUCUGUAGAUUUACUAUAUGAUUAUUAGUAUGGAACUUCCUAAAAUUGUGCAUGUCAGUGUAAGUGUAUAGCUUCAAACUCUGUUUUAUUUCAUGCUGUGAACCUGGGGGAAAAAACAGGAAUUUUGUUUUAAGGGAACGGUCACCAACAGUUUGCCUUUUUUUUUUUUUUUUAGUCAGUCAUGUUGUUAAAAAUUAUUUUCUGUAACUGAGCUCUCCCUAGAGUUAACAGACCACUCUUCUAAAAAUACUUUUUAAAAGUUCUCUGGGAAGUGAUAUUCUUCCAUUGAAAAUUUAAUCGCAGGGUAAUUCAGGUUUGAAGGAACCUCUUGUCCAACCCCUGCAUGGAACAGGGCUAACUUCGAAGUCAGAUCUAACAUCAAAGUUAGAUCAGUUGCUCAGGGUUUUGUCCAGUCAAGUUUUGAAUAUCUCUAAGGACAGAGAGUGCACAGCCUCUCUUGA
RNAcentral lists this long non-coding RNA (1433 nucleotides) under Struthio camelus australis. RNAcentral's name for it is "lncRNA (ENSSCUG00000015692.1)". Lineage: Eukaryota; Metazoa; Chordata; Aves; Struthioniformes; Struthionidae. The record is from RNAcentral.